Molecule: ribosomal RNA, 279 nt
Filed under: uncultured bacterium
Lineage: Bacteria
Description: partial 16S ribosomal RNA
Rfam family: Bacterial small subunit ribosomal RNA
Source: RNAcentral
UGCCAGCAGCCGCGGUAAAACGUAGGGGGCAAGCGUUAUCCGGAAUCAUUGGGCGUAAAGCGCAUGUAGGCGGUUUACUAAGUUGGAUGUGAAAGCUCACGGCUUAACCGAGAGAGGUCAUCCAAAACUGGUAGACUUGAGUAAGGUAGAGGGGUACAGAAUUCCUGGUGUAGUGGUGGAAUGCGUAGAGAUCAGGAGGAAUACCAGAGGCGAAAGCGGUACCCUGGGCCUAAACUGACGCUGAGAUGCGAAAGCGUGGGGAGCGAACGGGAUUAGAUA